ACUCAAAUGAAUUGACGGGGACCCGCACAAGCAGCGGAGCAUGUGGUUUAAUUCGAAGCAACGCGAAGAACCUUACCUAAACUUGACAUCCCUUGGACCGCUCCUUAAUCGGAGCUUUCCCUUCGGGGACUGAGGUGACAGGUGGUGCAUGGUUGUCGUCAGCUCGUGUCGUGAGAUGUUGGGUUAAGUCCCGCAACGAGCGCAACCCUUGCCUUUAGUUGCCAUCAUUAAGUUGGGCACUCUAGAGGGACUGCCGAGGAUAACUCGGAGGAAGGUGGGGAUGACGUCAAAUCAUCAUGCCCCUUAUGUUUAGGGCUACACACGUGCUACAAUGGCUGGUACAGAGGGCUGCGAAACCGUGAGGUUAAGCCAAUCCCUUAAAGCCAGUCUCAGUUCGGAUUGUAGGCUGAAACUCGCCUACAUGAAGCUGGAGUUGCUAGUAAUCGCGGAUCAGAAUGCCGCGGUGAAUGCGUUCCCGGGUCUUGUACACACCGCCCGU
RNAcentral lists this ribosomal RNA (499 nucleotides) under uncultured bacterium. RNAcentral describes it as "partial 16S ribosomal RNA". It matches the Rfam family "Bacterial small subunit ribosomal RNA", at positions 899 to 1397 of the family's 1533-position model. The record is from RNAcentral.